CCUACGGGAGGCAGCAGUGAGGAAUAUUGGUCAAUGGACGAGAGUCUGAACCAGCCAAGUAGCGUGAAGGAUGACUGCCCUAUGGGUUGUAAACUUCUUUUAUAUGGGAAUAAAAUGUUCCACGUGUGGGAUUUUGUAUGUACCCUAUGAAUAAGGCUCGGAUAACUCCGUGCCAGCAGGCGCGGUAAUACGGAGGAUCCGAACGUUAUCCGGAUUUUGUGGGUUUAAAGGGAGCGGAGGUGGGUUGGUAAGUUAAUUGGGAAAGUUUGCGGCUCAAACGUAAAAUUGCAGUUGAAACUGGCAGUCUUGAGUACAGUAGAGGUGGGCGGAAUUCGUGGUGUAGCGGUGAAAUGCUUAGAUAUCACGAAGAACUCCGAUUGCGAAGGCAGUUCACUGGACUGCAACUGACACUGAGGCUCGAAAGUGUGGGUAUCAAACAGGAUUAGAUACCCGAGUAGUC
This 460-nucleotide ribosomal RNA is filed under the name uncultured bacterium. RNAcentral's name for it is "partial 16S ribosomal RNA". It matches the Rfam family "Bacterial small subunit ribosomal RNA", at positions 338 to 795 of the family's 1533-position model. The record is from RNAcentral.